ACCCUUUGUGAACAUACCUACAACUGUUGCUUCGGCGGGUAGGGUCCCCGUGACCCUCCCGGCCUCCCGCCCCCCCGGGCGGGUCGGCGCCCGCCGGAGGAUAACCAAACUCUGAUUUAACGACGUUUCUUCUGAGUGGUACAAGCAAAUAAUCAAAACUUUUAACAACGGAUCUCUUGGUUCUGGCAUCGAUGAAGAACGCAGCGAAAUGCGAUAAGUAAUGUGAAUUGCAGAAUUCAGUGAAUCAUCGAAUCUUUGAACGCACAUUGCGCCCGCCAGCAUUCUGGCGGGCAUGCCUGUUCGAGCGUCAUUUCAACCCUCAAGCUCUGCUUGGUGUUGGGGCCCUACAGCUGAUGUAGGCCCUCAAAGGUAGUGGCGGACCCUCCCGGAGCCUCCUUUGCGUAGUAACUUUACGUCUCGCACUGGGAUCCGGAGGGACUCUUGCCGUAAAACCCCCCAAUUUUCCAAAGGUUGACCUCGGAUCAGGUAGGAAUACCCGCUGAACUUAAGCAUAUCAAAARGSSGGRAGGAAA
This 533-nucleotide ribosomal RNA is filed under the name fungal sp. SNB-LAP1-7-27. Its description in RNAcentral is "eukaryotic LSU rRNA". Lineage: Eukaryota; Fungi. The record is from RNAcentral.